CCUCGGAUCAGGUAGGGAUACCCGCUGAACUUAAGCAUAUCAAUAAGCGGAGGAAAAGAAACCAACCGGGAUUGCCUCAGUAACGGCGAGUGAAGCGGCAAGAGCUCAAAUUUGAAAGCUGGCUCCUUCGGGGUCCGCAUUGUAAUUUGCAGAGGAUGCUUCGGGCGCGGCCCCCGUCUAAGUGCCCUGGAACGGGCCGUCGGAGAGGGUGAGAAUCCCGUCUGGGACGGGGUGUCCGUGUCCGUGUGAAGCUCCUUCAACGAGUCGAGUUGUUUGGGAAUGCAGCUCUAAUUGGGUGGUAAAUUUCAUCUAAAGCUAAAUAUUGGCCGGAGACCGAUAGCGCACAAGUAGAGUGAUCGAAAGAUGAAAAGCACUUUGAAAAGAGAGUUAAACAGCACGUGAAAUUGUUGAAAGGGAAGCGCUUGCGACCAGACUCGCUCGCGGGGUUCAGCGGGCCUUCGGGCCCGUGUACUUCCCCGUGGGCGGGCCAGCGUCGGUUUGGGCGGCCGGUCAAAGGCCUCCGGAAUGUAGCACCCUUCGGGGUGCCUUAUAGCCGGGGGUGCAAUGCGGCCUGCCUGGACCGAGGAACGCGCUUCGGCACGGACGCUGGCAUAAUGGUCGUAAGCGACC
This 630-nucleotide ribosomal RNA is filed under the name Aspergillus janus. Its description in RNAcentral is "eukaryotic LSU rRNA". It matches the Rfam family "Eukaryotic large subunit ribosomal RNA", at positions 1 to 649 of the family's 3401-position model. Lineage: Eukaryota; Fungi; Ascomycota; Eurotiomycetes; Eurotiales; Aspergillaceae. The record is from RNAcentral.